GUAUAUGGGGCUGCUGGUCAUGUGCGGCU
This 29-nucleotide non-coding RNA is filed under the name Cricetulus griseus (Chinese hamster). Lineage: Eukaryota; Metazoa; Chordata; Mammalia; Rodentia; Cricetidae. The record is from RNAcentral.